AUUGAACGCUGGCGGCAUGCCUUACACAUGCAAGUCGAACGGUAACGCGGGGCAACCUGGCGACGAGUGGCGAACGGGUGAGUAAUGUAUCGGAACGUGCCCAGUUGUGGGGGAUAACUGCUCGAAAGAGCAGCUAAUACCGCAUACGACCUGAGGGUGAAAGCGGGGGAUCGCAAGACCUCGCGCAAUUGGAGCGGCCGAUAUCAGAUUAGGUAGUUGGUGGGGUAAAGGCCUACCAAGCCUACGAUCUGUAGCUGGUCUGAGAGGACGACCAGCCACACUGGGACUGAGACACGGCCCAGACUCCUACGGGAGGCAGCAGUGGGGAAUUUUGGACAAUGGGGGCAACCCUGAUCCAGCCAUGCCGCGUGCGGGAAGAAGGCCUUCGGGUUGUAAACCGCUUUUGUCAGGGAAGAAAUCCUUUGAACUAAUACUUCGGAGGGAUGACGGUACCUGAAGAAUAAGCACCGGCUAACUACGUGCCAGCCGCCGCAGUAA
This 498-nucleotide ribosomal RNA is filed under the name uncultured bacterium. RNAcentral's name for it is "partial 16S ribosomal RNA". It matches the Rfam family "Bacterial small subunit ribosomal RNA", at positions 30 to 523 of the family's 1533-position model. The record is from RNAcentral.